RNAcentral lists this transfer RNA (71 nucleotides) under Phrynosoma platyrhinos (Desert horned lizard). RNAcentral describes it as "tRNA-OTHER". Lineage: Eukaryota; Metazoa; Chordata; Lepidosauria; Squamata; Phrynosomatidae. The record is from RNAcentral.
GCCAUUAUGGUGUAGUGGUUUGAGCACUGGACUAUAACUCUGAAGACUAGGGUUCGAAUCCCUGCUUGACC